This 618-nucleotide ribosomal RNA is filed under the name Triticum aestivum (bread wheat). RNAcentral's name for it is "partial small subunit ribosomal RNA". Lineage: Eukaryota; Viridiplantae; Streptophyta; Magnoliopsida; Poales; Poaceae. The record is from RNAcentral.
AUGCUCGGCUGCUUCCCCGCCGUCGUGGGCGGCCGGAGGCCCCCCAAGUCACCGCCGUCGGCCCUCCUUAACCUUACCUACGACGACGGCUCCACCUCCACCUCCGUCUCCGUCUCGCCGCCCUCCUCCGCCUCCACCUCCUCCCCGGCCUUCCUCGACGACGACGACGACGACGCCGACGCGCAGGCCGACGUCGGCGGCCUGUCCUCCGCCAUCGCGUCCCGCCGCCUCUCCCUCGCGCCCCCCGGCCGCUCCAACUCCAUCGUCGACUCCUCCUCCUCCGAGCACGCCACCGCUCCCUGUCCAUUCAUCCCGUCGCAGGAGGCGGUGCGGAGCGUCACCAUGUCGACGGACGCGCCCCGCGCCGAGUUCCUCAAGUCGAUGCUGGAGAUGGCGGAGGCGCUGGGCCUGGACCCGCGCCGCGGCGCCGACCGCGCGCGCAUGCACGACCUCCUCUUGUGCUACAUCGCCAUCAACGACAGCGACACGCUCAGGGACAUCCUCGGCGCAUUCACCGAGCUCCUCUGCAUCCUCAACGGCAACACCACCGGCGACGGCGACGGCACCAGGACAACGCCAUCGUCGACGGCGACAGCAGACAGAGCGACGCAUAGGUAG